UGCGUAGGCGGAAAUAUAAGUCAGUGGUGAAAUCUUGCAGCUUAACUGUAAAACUGCCAUUGAUACUGUGUUUCUUGAGUAUAGUUGAGGUAGGCGGAAUGUGUAAUGUAGCGGUGAAAUGCUUAGAUAUUACACAGAACACCGAUUGCGUAGGCAGCUUACUAAACUAUAUCUGACGCUGAGGCACGAAAGCGUGGGGAUCAAACAGGAUUAGAUACCCUGGUAGUCC
RNAcentral lists this ribosomal RNA (229 nucleotides) under uncultured bacterium. RNAcentral describes it as "partial 16S ribosomal RNA". It matches the Rfam family "Bacterial small subunit ribosomal RNA", at positions 568 to 796 of the family's 1533-position model. The record is from RNAcentral.